Long non-coding RNA from Carassius gibelio (silver crucian carp), 2308 nucleotides. RefSeq lists it as uncharacterized. The transcript has 3 exons. The record is from RefSeq and is a predicted model, not a curated record. NCBI's taxonomy places the organism in Eukaryota, Metazoa, Chordata, Actinopteri, Cypriniformes, Cyprinidae.
GUUUAGAGUCGCAAAGAGGUAGCCUAAUUCACACAAGCUCUCUCUCUCUCACUUCCGGUGUGAUUCUCGAGGGCGAGUGAACGGAGUGGUGCAAAUGCGUGAGUGGCUCUCUAUGAGAAACCUCAUUCCUCAGACGGUCCACUGAUGCCUUGCUCCCAACCUGGUUGAGCUCCACCUGUCCACUAAUGAAAGAGGUCAAAGGUCAGGCAUCAAAUCCAGAUCUGAGGUUUUAUUGGAACAAUGUAGUUUUAAGCAGUUGAAUGUUUGAAAAUAUAAAUUUUUAUUGUCAUUUAUUUAAUGUUUAGUCACAAUUGGAUACCUCUCUGUAUCGUCUCCAUUUUGACUCCUGCAAGUAAUGAGCUGUCUUUCUCUCUGACCCGGUUUGAUCUGGCUCAGGUUGAGUUUUUCCAGCUCGGCUAUGUUUCUCAGGUGUUCUCUCUUCAGCUCCUCUAGUUUGGUGUAGUAUUCCUGUUUGGAGAAUGUGGGUCCCUGCAGAUGAGGGGCUGCACAUGGCUUCCCAUAGUCAACAUCAGAAAGAGAACUCGAGUCGCACGCCCCUAUGUUAUCACCGUCAGACUGCAGCUCACACACCUGAGAAACCGAAAACAAGCAAACUACUGUUUAAACGGUCAAUUUGAACUAAAAUGACCGCAAAUGUUACAGUACAGUAUAAAACAGAAUAUUAAGUGGUUCUUCCAUUACAGAGUAUCUCUAUCAAUUAAUCUGGAAAUGCUUAAUUAUGAGGUGAAUUAGUCUUUUUACAUUGUACAGAUCAGAUGUCUACCUCUGUGUGAUGAACAAUAUCAUUCAGGGAGCAUGAAUAAUCCUUCUCCUCUCCAAACAGAGCCUGAAGUUCACUCGGCUGAAGCCUCUCUGUGCGCAGUAUCGGAGUCAUGGUCCAGCGGUAACCAAGGAAACGCUGUAUGUGCUGUUCCAUGAGUGCCUCCUGCUGUCAGAGAGUGAAUCUGCGUCGCGUUCAGACAGAGCUUCUGCGUUUUGUCAGAGAUCGGUGGUUUUGUUACAAAUUUGGUUAUUAUUAAAUCAAAUUAUGUAUAUAAAAUUAUAUAAACAAAUGAUAUGAAAUCAUAUUAAUUAUAUGUAUAUUAUAUAACUAAAAUGAAAUAACUGUAAUUACAGAUUUAGGUUAAAUAAAUAUGUCUGUCUUUAUUUUUCUUCUUUUUUUCUUUUUCUCAUCAAAAGCUGCAAGACAGCCCACGAUUCAACAUUUCAGAAACACAUAAAAAAUAAAAAAUAAAUUAACAAAUACUGCUUUUCCAAACAUUCUGUAUGUUGCACAAAAAUAAAAUAUAUUGUGUUCAGUGUUUUUUUUGUUGUUGUUUUUCUUUACGCAGGCAUUUCAAAAUAACAUUUUAGAGCUGUAAAAACAAUACUGUGAUACUGUGAAACCAUGAUAUUUUUGCUUAAGGUUAUCAUAGCAUCAAAAUCUCAUACCGGCCCAUGAUUAGAUUCAUUUGGUCAUUGCUGAUUGUUGAGCUAUUUAUUGCAGCAUUACUCUUAAAUACAUAUGCACUUUUCAUGAAGUAAAUCAUGUGAUUAUGAGCAUUGUAUGGCUUCAUUUUCAGUUGUUGUCAUUCACCUUCCUUCCUCUUUCUGCCCUUCCCCAAAUGUGUCAAAUCACGCUUGUGUCAGUCUCUCUAAUCACAAGUUCCUCACACCAGUGCUCUCUUACAAAUGUGUGAGAGUUUUCAUUUGAAGGUUAUGCAAUCCAGAGUACAUUAAUCAAUGAUUUGCUAGAUGCCUUACUCAAGGUCAGCUAUGAAUAACGGAAAGUUACGGAAUGUGCUGAUACUGUGUAGACCCAGAAGAGCACUUCACUAAGCACGCUGAAGUCAGCCAACAUAAUAAGGUGACUCCUCCUUCAACAUCAUCUGGAUGGAACGUCACAGUUACAUCAUGUCUGCUCCUGGACAAGACUGUGUGAUUGUUCUGAUCUGGAUAUGAAAGUAGCCUGUGUUCUCUAAAAGAACAGUUUGUCUUGCUCCCACUGCAGCCAAACAUGUAUGAAUGCGUCUGUUUAACUUUGAAGUGUGAGCAGAGUCAAGAUCUUGCUCUCUAAUAUAAAUGUUUGGGGUCAGAAAGCACUGAAAAAACACCCUCUUAUUCAGUAUUUGGGUCUUGUAUGCCAGAAAAAUUCCAGAAAAAUCUCAAACCCCUUAAAAGAUGUACUUGAUAUAUAAAAAUUACCAUAAUAUAACACAAGUUAUUUUUUACAAUUUUAUUUUCAUUUUGUUUUUCAUAAGAUUACUGGAACUGGUAAACAGUGCCUGUGAUUUCUGUUGUAAAUAUA